RNAcentral lists this unclassified non-coding RNA (342 nucleotides) under Hevea brasiliensis (rubber tree). The record is from RNAcentral. Lineage: Eukaryota; Viridiplantae; Streptophyta; Magnoliopsida; Malpighiales; Euphorbiaceae.
AACUCGAACACUCAAGAAAUCCGUUGGACAGGCGGAUUCACAUCUCUUACAACCGACACAGUCCUCUGUUCUUGGAGCAGAAGCAAUUUGCUUGGAUUUACAUCCAUCCCAAGGUAUCAUUUCUAAUACAUCUGUGGGGCAGGCUCGGACACAUUGAGUACACCCUAUACAUGUAUCAUAAAUCUUUACUGAAUGUGACAUUAGAUUUCUAAUUUUUUUAACGUCAUAAAGUUUCAAUCUAGUAAAUUUCUAAAUGAAUCAUCAUAUAUUUAGACACCAGACGAAUCAAUGAUUUACCAGAAAUUUUCUAUUCAAUUCUGGAUCGACUCAUGAGAAAAAACC